GAUGAACGCUGGCGGCGUGCCUAAUACAUGCAAGUCGAGCGAACGGACGAGAAGCUUGCUUCUCUGAUGUUAGCGGCGGACGGGUGAGUAACACGUGGAUAACCUACCUAUAAGACUGGGAUAACUUCGGGAAACCGGAGCUAAUACCGGAUAAUAUUUUGAACCGCAUGGUUCAAAAGUGAAAGACGGUCUUGCUGUCACUUAUAGAUGGAUCCGCGCUGCAUUAGCUAGUUGGUAAGGUAACGGCUUACCAAGGCAACGAUGCAUAGCCGACCUGAGAGGGUGAUCGGCCACACUGGAACUGAGACACGGUCCAGACUCCUACGGGAGGCAGCAGUAGGGAAUCUUCCGCAAUGAGCGAAAGCCUGACGUAGCAACGCCGCGUGAGCGAUGAAGGUCUUCGGAUCGUAAAACUCUGUUAUUAGGGAAGAACAUAUGUGUAAGUAACUGUGCACAUCUUGACGGUACCUAAUCAGAAAGCCACGGCUAACUACGUG
This 497-nucleotide ribosomal RNA is filed under the name uncultured bacterium. Its description in RNAcentral is "partial 16S ribosomal RNA". It matches the Rfam family "Bacterial small subunit ribosomal RNA", at positions 28 to 507 of the family's 1533-position model. The record is from RNAcentral.